Molecule: ribosomal RNA, 471 nt
Filed under: uncultured bacterium
Lineage: Bacteria
Description: bacterial SSU rRNA
Rfam family: Bacterial small subunit ribosomal RNA
Source: RNAcentral
GCAGAGCAUCCUACGGGAGGCAGCAGUGGGGAAUAUUGCACAAUGGGCGCAAGCCUGAUGCAGCCAUGCCGCGUGUAUGAAGAAGGCCUUCGGGUUGUAAAGUACUUUCAGCAGUGAGGAAGGUGGGUAUGUUAAUAGCAUACUCAUUUGACGUUAGCUGCAGAAGAAGCACCGGCUAACUCCGUGCCAGCAGCCGCGGUAAUACGGAGGGUGCGAGCGUUAAUCGGAAUUACUGGGCGUAAAGCGCAUGCAGGUGGUUUGUUAAGUCAGAUGUGAAAGCCCGGGGCUCAACCUCGGAAUUGCAUUUGAAACUGGCAAACUAGAGUACUGUAGAGGGGGUAGAAUUUCAGGUGUAGCGGUGAAAUGCGUAGAGAUCUGAAGGAAUACCGGUGGCGAAGGCGGCCCCCUGGACAGAUACUGACACUCAGAUGCGAAAGCGUGGGGAGCAAACAGGAUUAGAUACCCUGGUAG